UCCCAGCAGCAGCUGCGGCGCCUCUUGUCUUCUUCAUCUCUUUUUGCAGUCUCUCUUUCGCUUCCGGAAACAUGGCCUCUGGUGUGGCUGUCUCUGAUGGUGUCAUCAAGGUAUUCAAUGACAUGAAGGUGUGCAAGUCCUCAACACCAGAGGAAGUGAAGAAGUGCAAGAAGGCGGUGCUUUUUUGCCUGAGUGAGGACAAGAAGAACAUCAUCCUGGGGGAGGGCAAGGAGAUUCUGGUGGGGGAUGUGGGCCAGACUGUGGACGACCCCUAUGCUACCUUUGUCAAGAUGCUGCCAGACAAGGACUGUCACUAUGCCCUCUAUGAUGCAACCUAUGAGACCAAGGAGAGCAAGAAGGAAGAUCUGGUGUUUAUCUUUUGGGCCCCUGAGUGUGCACCCCUUAAGAGCAAAAUGAUCUAUGCCAGUUCCAAGGAUGCCAUCAAA
Molecule: RNA transcript, 446 nt
Organism: Octodon degus (degu)
Lineage: Eukaryota; Metazoa; Chordata; Mammalia; Rodentia; Octodontidae
Gene name: cofilin-1 pseudogene
Exons: 1
Source: RefSeq, a predicted model, not a curated record